GAUGAACGCUGGCGGCGUGCUUAACACAUGCAAGUCGAACGAUGAAGCCCAGCUUGCUGGGUGGAUUAGUGGCGAACGGGUGAGUAACACGUUAGUAACCUGCCCUUAACUCUGUGAUAAGCCUGGGAAACUGGGUCUAAUACCGGAUAGGAGCGUCCACCGCAUGUUGGGUGUUGUAAAGUUUUAUCGUUUUUGGAUGGACUCGCGGCCUAUCAGCUUGUUGGUGAGGUAAUGGCUCACCAAGGCGACGACGGGUAUCCGGCCUGAGAGGGUGACCGGACACACUGGGACUGAGACACGGCACAGACUCCUACGGGAGGCAGCAGUGGGGAAUAUUGCACAAUGGGAGAAAGCCUGAUGAAGCGACGCAGCGUGAGGGAUGACGGCCUUCGGGUUGUAAACCUAUUUCAGUAGGGAAGAAGCGAAAGUGACGGUACCUGCAGAAGAAGCACCGGCUAACUACGUG
RNAcentral lists this ribosomal RNA (466 nucleotides) under uncultured bacterium. RNAcentral's name for it is "partial 16S ribosomal RNA". It matches the Rfam family "Bacterial small subunit ribosomal RNA", at positions 28 to 507 of the family's 1533-position model. The record is from RNAcentral.